ACAGUGCCAUCAUGUUAAAAAAACAUAGAAGAAUAAGACCUAUUGAUGAGGCAAAGUCUUAUAUUCUGUACAAAAGUGACAAGCCUGGUUUUUUGGAACGUUUUAUAAGUAACAGCAAAGGUCGAGGAGUGUUUGAGCCUGGAGAGUUUCUCCUUGAGUACAGAGGUGAACUCCUGGAAGCAGAGGAAUACCAGGCCAGAGAUUAUUCUGAACUGGAGAGCACAUAUCUUUUUGAGUUCAUCUGGCAGGGCCGUCACUGGUGAUGAAUUUAUUCCGGAAGUUGAGGACAGUGUGACAUCCCUGCAAGAACCUACUUCCACAGUAUAUUCCCAACACCAACCUAAAAAGAGAGGUAAACAAACUGCUGUUAAAAAAAGCUGGACAGCAAAUGAAUGUGCUGCAGUAGAAAAGCACCUCAAGAAGUUCUUUGUGAGGAACCAAGUUCCAAGGAAAAUGGACUGUCAGCGCUGCAUUGAUGCUGAAGCUCAAGUUUUAGAUAGUCGAGACUGGAAGGCAGUCAAAUUCUUCAUCAAAAACCGUAUUACUUCCAUAAGAAGAAAAGUACAGCAACAUACAGGUAUCUCAUCCUUCCCACUUGUGUUCACAUUGGGACACAAGUUCAAAGUGUUUUCAAAAAAAGGUCAGUCACUUUCUCUUGAUUUUGUUUUCAUUUGUAUUAUCCUCUUCAAGGGUUAGUUCACCCCCCAAUUUUUUUUUUAAAAUAAACUUUCUUAGUCAUUCUAAACCCAAAAGAAAUUUGUUCAUCCAAACACAAAUGAAGAUAUUUUGAGUGAAACCUUAGAGAUUUCUGUCCCACUGCUGAAAAUCUGUCCAUCCUAAACUGUUUACUUGCAUUGUGAUGCCUUGAGUUGGAGCAUGUUUCUUUUUGUAGGGAACUGCCCAUUGUGUAUUACCAAAUACAUGCUCAAUGAGGACAUAUCAUGUCGUUUUUAAGUUAAUAUGUUUUUAUUUUUUUCUUACUGGUUCUUCAUAUAAGAAAUUUGCAUUGUUAAUUUGGGACGGGUUGCCAUUUUCUUUCGGUACCUGUUUUCUCCUAUUUAUGUUAGUAAGGGAGGUAAUGUAUUUUGAUUUUAUUUUUUUAUAUUUUUUUGUUUUCUUUUGUUUUCUUUUGGUAGUUAGUUAGUUAGUUUCACUUUUUAUUUAGGUAGAUGCUAAGUUUAUUUGUUGUAUUGGCCUGAGCUCCCUCUUGAAACCUUUGAAUCCUCCCGCAUCUGUAAAUAAGUUAUGUUCUUGAUUAUUUCUUUUGAGGUUGAUUGUUUAUCCUCACAGCUGAAACACACACAACACCAUUCUUAUUCUGUUAUGUGACUUCCCUCUCCUAGACUUGAUAUGGAAAUUUAACAGAAUUUGGGGGCUUGUCCGGGAUUUGGGGAUCGACCCUGGACCUCUCGCAUCUGAAGCGACCUAGAUCAUAUACUGGGUAAUUGCCAGCAAAGUUUAGGUCAUCCCACAACUCAGUCCAGCUUGUUAUACUAUGCAGUACCUCCACAGUCAAAAAGUGUGGUUAUGCAAAAGAUCUGCCACCUCUUAUCCAUGAUCUAAAGUCAUUGGAGCAACUGUAAUAAACUAGAAAAAACUGUGAGGGGUACAGCAUUAUUUGCUGCUGCUGAUGAUAAUCUAGGUUCCCACUACUCCUGUAGGAUUCUCUGGUGAAAAGUUCUGCAGAUUCUGUUUGGCAAGCAAUAGUGAUGCUCUGCAACACAAGGCAUGUUCUGGUCUCUUUUAAUUCAGAGACAAAGACUCACAUGAGACAGGGAAGAAAAACACUUGCUCAGCACAAUGGAGUACAUUUUGUUAACUUUGUGGCUUGUUAUUUUGAGUUGUUUCGGCAGCGGUGACACACAGCCUAAUACACACUCCUAAUACAUUGUUUAACAGAUCUACUUCUUAUGCUUCCUACUAUAUAUUUGUAUCAGAAUAUAUCAGAAGGUACGGGAGGAUGCAAUGCAAGGAUGACCAUCAAUGUCGGUUCUGGGACAUCAGUGUGGGUUGGCCCGGGAAAGGUGCGUGAUGGUGAAAAUAAACGAAUAUGGACUCUUUUUAUUUUACAUUUGGGUUUCAUGUCAUGGAUUGGUAAACUUGUAAAGCAGUGAAUGGGUGAUU
Cyprinus carpio (common carp) is the source of this 2124-nucleotide long non-coding RNA. RefSeq lists it as uncharacterized. The record is from RefSeq and is a predicted model, not a curated record. The transcript has 4 exons. NCBI's taxonomy places the organism in Eukaryota, Metazoa, Chordata, Actinopteri, Cypriniformes, Cyprinidae.